This 363-nucleotide ribosomal RNA is filed under the name uncultured bacterium. Its description in RNAcentral is "partial 16S ribosomal RNA". It matches the Rfam family "Bacterial small subunit ribosomal RNA", at positions 338 to 698 of the family's 1533-position model. The record is from RNAcentral.
CCUACGGGUGGCUGCAGUGAGGAAUAUUGGUCAAUGGACGGAAGUCUGAACCAGCCAUGCCGCGUGCAGGAUGACGGCUCUAUGAGUUGUAAACUGCUUUUGUAUUAGGGUAAACACUCCUACGUGUAGGGGCUUGAAAGUAUAAUACGAAUAAGGAUCGGCUAACUCCGUUCCAGCAGCCGCGGUAAUACGGAGGGUCCAAGCGUUAUCCGGAUUUAUUGGGUUUAAAGGGUGCGUAGGCGGUUUGGUAAGUUAGAGGUGAAAUACCGGUGCUGAACACGGGAACGGCCGCUGAUACUGGAGAGCUAGAGAGUAGUAGAGGUAGGCAGAAGGUAAGGUGUAGCGGGGAAAUGCUUAGAGAUC